This 237-nucleotide ribosomal RNA is filed under the name uncultured Lactobacillus sp. RNAcentral describes it as "partial 16S ribosomal RNA". It matches the Rfam family "Bacterial small subunit ribosomal RNA", at positions 125 to 355 of the family's 1533-position model. The record is from RNAcentral. Lineage: Bacteria; Bacillati; Bacillota; Bacilli; Lactobacillales; Lactobacillaceae.
CCGUGCCCAAGAGAUCGGGAUAACACCUGGAAACAGAUGCUAAUACCGGAUAACAACAGAUGAUGCCUAUCAACUGUUUAAAAGAUGGUUCUGCUAUCACUCUUGGAUGGACCUGCGGUGCAUUAGCUAGUUGGUAGGGUAACGGCCUGCCAAGGCGAUGAUGCAUAGCCGAGUUGAGAGACUGAUCGGCCACAUUGGGACUGAGACACGGCCCAAACUCCUCGGGAGGCAGCAGUA